This 588-nucleotide ribosomal RNA is filed under the name uncultured bacterium. RNAcentral's name for it is "bacterial SSU rRNA". It matches the Rfam family "Bacterial small subunit ribosomal RNA", at positions 338 to 943 of the family's 1533-position model. The record is from RNAcentral.
CCUACGGGAGGCAGCAGUGGGGAAUAUUGGACAAUGGGCGAAAGCCUGAUCCAGCAAUGCCGCGUGAGUGAUGAAGGCCUUCGGGUCGUAAAGCUCUUUUACCAGGGAUGAUAAUGACAGUACCUGGAGAAUAAGCUCCGGCUAACUCCGUGCCAGCAGCCGCGGUAAUACGGAGGGAGCUAGCGUUGUUCGGAAUUACUGGGCGUAAAGAGUACGUAGGCGGUUAUUCAAGUCAGAGGUGAAAGCCCGGGGCUCAACCCCGGAACUGCCUUUGAAACUAGAUAACUAGAGUCUUGGAGAGGUUAGUGGAAUUCCGAGUGUAGAGGUGAAAUUCGUAGAUAUUCGGAAGAACACCAGUGGCGAAGGCGACUAACUGGACAAGUACUGACGCUGAGGUACGAAAGCGUGGGGAGCAAACAGGAUUAGAUACCCUGGUAGUCCACGCCGUAAACGAUGAUAACUAGUUGUUCGGUCACUUGGUGACUGAGUGACGCAGCUAACGCAUUAAGUUAUCCGCCUGGGGAGUACGGUCGCAAGAUUAAAACUUAAAUGAAUUGACGGNUGAGAGNGCGAGCGACACGAGGAGAG